CCCUUAGAUGUCCUGGGCUGCACGCGUGCUACACUGAUUAUUUCAACAAGUGUUUUAACUGGAGAGUUCGCGUAAUCCUGAAAUGUUAUCGUGAUGGGAGUAGAGUAUUGUAUUUGUUAAUCUUUAACGAGGAAUUCCUAGUAAGUGUAGGUUUAUAAGUUGUUCUGAUUACGUCCCUGCCCUUUGUACACACCGCCCGUCGCUCCUACCGAUUGAUUGAUCCGGUGAAUUACAUAGAAUUUUGCGUUUUACAUGACGGAAGACGAAGUGUUUUAAACCUUAUCAUUUAGAGGAAGGAGAAGUCGUAACA
This 310-nucleotide ribosomal RNA is filed under the name uncultured eukaryote. Its description in RNAcentral is "partial 18S ribosomal RNA". It matches the Rfam family "Eukaryotic small subunit ribosomal RNA", at positions 1470 to 1796 of the family's 1831-position model. The record is from RNAcentral.